UAGUCAUAUGCUUGUCUCAAAGAUUAAGCCAUGCAUGUCUCAGUGUAAACUUUUAAACGGUGAAACUGCGAAUGGCUCAUUAAAACAGUUAUAGUUUAUUUGAUGUUCACUUCUACAUGGAUAACCGUGGGAAUUCCAGGGCUAAUACAUGCGGCUCUUCGGAGCGAGUGUUUAUUAGAUCUAGACCAAAACCGUUUCUGACGGGUUAAUUGGAAUGAUAAUAACCUAUCGAAUCGCAUGCCGUAUGGCGGCGAUAGAUCUUUCAAGUUUCUGACCU
Molecule: ribosomal RNA, 277 nt
Filed under: uncultured eukaryote
Lineage: Eukaryota
Description: partial 18S ribosomal RNA
Rfam family: Eukaryotic small subunit ribosomal RNA
Source: RNAcentral